Transfer RNA from Lichtheimia corymbifera, 72 nucleotides. It matches the Rfam family "tRNA". From Rfam's summary of the family: Transfer RNA (tRNA) molecules are approximately 80 nucleotides in length. The record is from Rfam. Lineage: Eukaryota; Fungi; Mucoromycota; Mucoromycetes; Mucorales; Lichtheimiaceae.
GUUUUGGUAGCUUAAAUGGUAGAGCAUACGACUGAAGUUCGUACCGAGGAGGUUCAAUUCCUUCCCAAAACA